CACCUCUAGCAUUACUAGUAUUAGAGGCACUGCCUGCCCAGUGACACACGUUUAACGGCCGCGGUACCCUGACCGUGCAAAGGUAGCAUAAUCACUUGUUCUUUAAAUGGGGACUCGCAUGAAAGGCACCACGAGGGUUUAACUGUCUCUUACUUUUAACCAGUGAAAUUGACCUGCCCGCGAAGAGGCGGGCAUAAAACAAUAAGACGAGAAGACCCUAUGGAGCUUUAAUCUAUUAAUGCAAUCAAAAACUACACAAACCCACGGACCUUUAAACUACCGACACCUGCAUUAAAAAUUUUGGUUGGGGCGACCUCGGAGCACAACAAAACCUCCGAAUAACACAUGCUAAGACCACACAAGUCAAAGCGAACUAACACUUACAAUUGAUCCAAUAACUUGAUCAACGGAACAAGUUACCCUAGGGAUAACAGCGCAAUUCUAUUCUAGAGUCCAUAUCGACAAUAGAGCUUACGACCUCGAUGUUGGAUCAGGACAUCCUAAUGGUGCAGCAGCUAUCAAGGGUUCGUUUGUUCAACGAUUAAAGUCCU
This 551-nucleotide ribosomal RNA is filed under the name Macaca mulatta (Rhesus monkey). RNAcentral's name for it is "partial 16S ribosomal RNA". It matches the Rfam family "Bacterial large subunit ribosomal RNA", at positions 1816 to 2597 of the family's 2925-position model. Lineage: Eukaryota; Metazoa; Chordata; Mammalia; Primates; Cercopithecidae. The record is from RNAcentral.